Molecule: long non-coding RNA, 468 nt
Filed under: Elaeis guineensis (African oil palm)
Lineage: Eukaryota; Viridiplantae; Streptophyta; Magnoliopsida; Arecales; Arecaceae
Description: long non-coding RNA (EGUI_LNC010393)
Source: RNAcentral
AAGAGCACUGCCACCCAGCUUUUUUCCAGUCUUCUUCCGCAGCAGCUCAUGAGUAUUCAAUCUAUCUUUCCUUCCUGCACAACCAAAGAAAGCACCUAAAUUUGAGUGGCACACUGAGUUUCUAGAGAUGUUUGGCAAACCUGCAUUUGAUGCCUCUUGUGUUGAUGAAGUUAUAUAAGGACGCAGUUGUAAAGGAACCAUUAGAAUCCAAUUUCCAUAACACCUUGUCAGUUUCUUGAAUUGGCGGAGCAUGUGCAAGAAUUCAGUGUGAACUAUCCAAUAUAAAUUGUUUGGAUGGCCGUCGGAAAUCAAGGUACGCUGGAGGAGCUCCUGGGUUCAGCUCAUCAUUGCGCUCUGCAGGGAGAAUUGGCACGAGAGGUAUUCUACAAUUUCCCCUAAUUAAGAAAAGUUCCUCCAUCCAAGCAAUCCUCUCAAAAAUUCUUCACACUUUUUAAACGUGGGGAAAGU